Bombyx mori (domestic silkworm) is the source of this 9236-nucleotide long non-coding RNA. RefSeq lists it as uncharacterized. NCBI's taxonomy places the organism in Eukaryota, Metazoa, Arthropoda, Insecta, Lepidoptera, Bombycidae. The record is from RefSeq and is a predicted model, not a curated record. The transcript has 2 exons.
UUCUUCGGGUGACGUCGAGUGUGAACACAAGUGUCUUCGAAGUUUCCCGGUGUUUUAAUUAAUAUUAUUUGUUUAAAUUGCUGUUGACUUGCGCUACUGAUUCGUGUUGGUGUUGGUAUAUAUCUGUUGUGCCGUGAGUGUAAAUAUAUUGUGUUUGUUAUAUUAUUAAAAGGUUAGUAAUUCAACAGUUGAUUACUUUGUAAAAUAAUAAUAAUUAAAAUUGAUGUGACCUUGUGCAAUCACGAAGCCCACCCAACAAAAAAGAAUCCAAACUUCACCAAAAGACAUCAGCUGAGCAUAAUCAAAACCACAGACUAUAAAACUUGACUUUGGCGAAAUCAAAAAGGACCGCCAUUACAAAAGAAAAUGUAAAUGUAAUACAAAUACAUUUCACCUCACUAUCAUGACAGAGGCAAUAAUAAAGUCUGCUGUUAGAUAGUUUUUAGCAAGACCAUUAUAAGGUGAACUCCAAUUAUAAGUAAAUCCAUGUUAUUUACUCUUAAUUAAAACUGGUUAAUCUCGAGACACAUUUAACAUUGUGUCUCGAGAUUAACAUUAAUUAUUCCCUUGCACUGUUUGUUGUAUGUUAGUUGAACUCUUAUCAUGAGGUUAUUGUGGUUUGAUAAGACACUGGUGUUCAUAAAUAUUUGUCUCUUUAUUACAGUUUAUGUGUUAUAGGGAUAAAUUAUGUGGAUAAAUAUGAAUAUUUAUCGGAGACAAAAUAGGUAUUAUGAAAUAUGGGUUUCGGUUUUGCAAAUGAAAAUUUUUGGGUGAAUUAUUUGGUAUUAAUUUGUUCUCUAGAGGUCAUACACAUCACAAAAUGGAUACGUGUGUGGGACCGACGUGUGAGUGGUCCGUGGUCAGUGGGUGGGACGCUAUACCGUUAUGAGGUCCCUGCAUUGAGGGGUAUAUAGGACUAGUAGAAUGGCCACCCGGUAAAGAACUCCCUUAAACUCUCAUCUGGACGUCCGAUCCCCGGGACAGGAGUAGUUCCAACUGUAAAAGUAGUUUCAUGUCUAAAUCAAUUUAAUGAGUUUUUUAAUAUUCUAAGAUGGGUGGACAAGCUCACGGUCAAACUGGUAUUCACUGGUUACUGAAGCCCGUAGAUAUCAACAAUGUAAAUGCCGCCACCCACUUUGAGACAUGAGUUCUAAGGUCUCAUAGUAUAGUUAGAACGUCUGCCCCACCCUUCAUACCGAAACGCAUUACUGCUUCACGGCAGAAAUAGGCAGGGAGGUGGUACCUACCCACGCGGACUCACAAGACGUCCUACCACCAGUAAUUACGCAAAUUAUAAUUUUGCGGGUUUGAUUUUUAUUACACGAUUUUAUUCCGUCACAGUGGAAGUCAAUCGUGAACAUUUGUUAAGUAUGUACAUAUCGACGCUUGAAAGGCAAACUUGACUAAGCGACAAUGCGUGAACUUUACAGUAGACUAAUUUAAAGUUGAAAUACCUGGAAAAAAAAUUUAUUUUAACGAAUCUAGCUGUAGUAGAAUCUAGCUAGUAGCUGUAGGAUUGAAAUGAUUUUAAUAGACCUAGAAAUAAAUUUUUUUUGCGCAUCGAAUAUGGUUAUUGCCUAUCAUUUAUGUACAAAGCAGUUAUUGUCGCUUAGUCACGUUUGCCUUUCAAGCGUCGAUAUAUAUUUCUUCUAAGUCUCCGCUUUUACAGUACAACUAUCUGCCGACGCUAUCUAGACUGAGAUAUAGAUAAAAAGACGAAGACGAAUUAUUGGAAAUAGCCCAAAAGAAACUUUUAGUCUCCAUUGGCAUCACGGUAUAAUGUAUAUAUGGACCGUUUAUUUUGAAAGUGGUGUAAGUUCGUUUUCUUUUGUUUCGAGAAAAUUAAAGGUUGAUAUAUACUAUAUUUGUUGAUUUCAAAAUACAGGCAAAUCAUAUGAGGUCUGGCUAUGCCACCUACCUCUGUCAAUUGGACUUACACCACUUUCAUCUUCUUCCUAUUCGUACACUCUUGACAGAGUGGUCGUGGUCAUGCAUCAGUCGGAUACGACCUGCUCAUGACUCUCGUGGGAAAUUAGUGCAGUGGUUUCCCGUUGCCUUCUGCACCAGCAUUUUAGGGGGUAUUUGAUCCCCAAGGUUUCUGACGCCUCUUCCGUACAGGUUGUCCUGACGGGUGUGUAUGGUUAUACCGCCAUUGCUCGGUCGCCAUUGCCCCGUUCGUUCUCUAGCAGGGAGCACCACGGCAACCUGUUGGUCGCCGCCGCCAUCCGGCGCGUGCAGGUGGGGUUGACAAUAGGGCCGGUGAAGGUAGCAUUCCGAUCUCCCCUUACUCCCCCUUACCACUUUCAUAAUCGAUGAUUAUGCAAUUUCAUUUACCGACCGAUUUUAAGUUGUACAAAACAUGGGAUUUUUUUUUGAGAAAUUAGACACGGAUUAGUUAUAUAUAUAAAAAUUACAUUAAAUUAAGCAUGAAUUACGUGAUAGCUCAUUUUUCUCAAAAAUGGACUUAGACCACUUUUUUUUUGUUGCUUAGAUGUGUGGACGAGCUCACAGCCCACCUGGUGUUAAGUGGUUACUGGAGCCCAUAGACAUCUACAACGUAAAUGCGCCACACACCUUGAGAUAUAAGUUCUAAGGUCUCAGUAUAGUUACAACGGCUGCCCCACCCUUCAAACCGAAACGCAUUACUGCUUCACGGCAGAAAAACCUAGGCGGGGCGGUGGUACCUACCCGUGCGGACUCACAAGAGGUCCUACCACCAGUAAUUACGCAAAUUAUAAUUUUGCGUGUUCGAUUUUUAUUCCACGAUGUUAUUCCUUCACCGUGGAAGUCAAUCGUGAACAUUUGCUGAGUACGUAUUUCAUUAGAUAAAUUGGUACCCGCCAGCGGGAUUCGAACACCGGUGCAUCGCUCGAUACGAAUGCACCGGACGCCUUAUCCUCUAGGCCAGUGAUUAUCAAACUUAUUUCUUUUACCGCCCCCUUUGAAAAUCAAUUAUUUUUCAGCGCCCCCCAUUUUUUAUACACCCCUAAAACUUUAAAACCACAAUUUCAUUAAUUUAAUUAAUAAAUGUUGUAUUAAUUUUAGUAAAUGUAGUACCACGUAGUACAUAAUUAUGUAUUUGUAGAUGCUAUUAUUGUUUCUUCAUAUUAUUAUAUGUCCGUACAUUGCUACAGAGCGUGUAUUUACAAAUUUCCAAAGUAAAAAUGAAUUCUUCUCAUCAAUAUGUUUGUUUAAAUUCUUCUGAAUCACCAAAAUAAAUUACUAGUUCACUGUACUAUUACUAUGCUAAUUUAUUAGAACGAAACUAUUUUUGUUGAAUAUCUUUCUCAUUAAUAUAAGAUUCUCAUCAUAAGAUAAUUAAAAAAUUAUAUUUCGACUAGUAAAUAAUACUACUAACAAUAAUAACUUAUUAAACUACGAAUAAGCUAAACUUGGAAGUCGUAGAGGAUUUCAUUUAUCUGGGCUUCGUCAUAGCUAGUAAUGGAUUCUCCGAAAAGGACCUCAGAAGGCGAAUCAGUAUGGCAAAGAGAGCUAUGUCCCAAAUGGACCGUGUUUGGGCGGACAGAAAGAUCUCGAGGAAUACCAAAAAGCAGCUCGUCACCUCCCUCGUCUUUUCCAUUUUUCUCUACGGCGCAGAGACUUGGAUCCUCAAGAAAACCGAUCGCCAACGCAUCGACGCGUUUGAGAUGUGGUGCUGGAGGAAAAUGCUCGGGAUUCGUUGGACAGAACACAGAACCAACGAAUCCAUUCUUACCGAGCUCAAGAUUCCAAUGCGCCUCAGCACUACAUGCGCGCGGAGAAGUUUCGAGAUCUUUGGACAUAUCGCCAGAAAGAGAGGUGACAAUCUGGAAAAGCUGCUGGUAACAGGCAAGGUAUGCGGAAGAAGUCACAGAGGCAGAAAUCCAAUGCGCUGGUCGGACCAAAUACGCUCCACUCUCAAUAUCUCACUCCACGUUGCUAUCCACACAGCCGAGGACAGGCAGGAAUGGCGCAAGAUGAUGCAGGAGAAAGUUAUUAGAGGAGGCCACGACCCUCAGCACUGAGGAUUAUCGACGCAAGAAGGAAGGAAACUACGAAAAAUAAAUUAAUAUCAUUUCGUAUUAUAGAUAAAUAUGGGUAAUUUUUCAUAGAAUUUUAGUUUAAAAUUUAGAACUGGUUCAAAUAAAAACCGCCGCUUAGGCGUGAGGUGAGCGUUUUUAUUAUUUGUAAUAAUUAAUAACUAUACUAUUCUAUACUAAUAUUAUAAAGAGGAAAGAUUUGUUUGUUUGUUUGUAUUCAAUAGGCUCCGAAACUACUAAUCCGAUUUGAAAAAUUCUUUCACUGUUUGGAAGCUUCACUAUUCCCGAGUGACAUAGGAUAUAAUCUUUUUUGAAAAAAAUUAGGUAUCCUUACUAAAACUCCAAUAAUUUAACCCAAGGUGUAAAAAAAAUUUCCUAAAAUAUUCUUUACGUCGCGUACCUACGAAAACUAUUGAUGAUAGAAUAAAAUAAUGUACUACGACUUUGUAGAAAACAUUAUUAUUUACAAAAAGUGUCGCGACAGCAUAUGUCUAACUAUUAUAGUUAUGCCGCAAUAAGUGUUCUUUUAUUUAAAAAAAUGCCCCUGGUAAGACACGGAGUGCCCCCCUACCUUCGCCGACUGGUGGCUCCCUACUUGGAGGACAGAUUGGUCACGUGUACUGGACACGGUGGGAUCGUGCACAGGCUCCCGGUCGUGCGCGAUGUUCCACAGGGGUCGGUGCUCGGCCCCCUUUUGUGGAAUAUCGGGUAUGACUGGGUACUGAGAGGUGCCCUCCUCCCGGGCCUAAGCGUAAUCUGUUACGCAGACGACACGCUGGUCGUGUCCCGGGGGGGUUUUGCUGAGUUUGCUCGUCUUGCUACCGUUGGGGUGGCGCAUGUCGUCGGCAAAAUCAGGAGAUUGGGCCUCGACGUGACACUCAGUAAAUCCGAGGCCAUGUAGUUCCACAGGCCCCGGAGAGUGCCACCUGUCGAUGCCCAUAUCGUGGUUGGAGGCGUCCGUAUCGGGUUGGAGUGCAGUUGAAGUACCUCGGCCUCAUUCUGGACAGUCGUUGGACCUUCCGUGUUCACUAUCAGAACCUGGUCCCUCGUUUGUUGGGGGUGGCCGGCGCGUUAAGCCGACUUCUUCCCAACAUCGGGGGGCCUGACCAGGUGACGCGCCGUCUCUAUACGGGGAUGGUGCGGUCAAUGGCCUUAUACGAGGCGCCCGCGUGGGGCCAGUCACUGGCCGUGCGGGUAGCGAAGUUGCUGCAACGGCCGCAACGCACCAUCACGGUCAGGAUCAUCCGUGUUUAUCGCACCAUCUCUUUCGAGGCGGCGUGUGUACAAGCUGGGACGCCACCUUGGGUCCUGGAGUCGGAGGCGCUCGCCGCUGACUAUCAGUGGCGGGCUAACCUUCGUGCCCGGGGCGUGGCGCGUCCCAGCCCCAGUGUGGUCAGAGCGCGGAGGGCCCAAUCUCGGCGGUCCGUGCUGGAGUCAUGGUCCAGCCGGCUGGCCGAUCCUUCAGCUGGUCGUAGGAGGCGAUUCGCCCGGUUCUUGUGAAUUGGGUGAAUCGUGACAGAGGACGCCUCACUUUCCGGCUCACGCAGGUACUCACUGGGCAUGGUUGCUUCGGUGAAUUCCUACACCGGAUCGGAGCCAAGCCGACGGCAGAGUGCCACCAUUGUGGUUGCGACUUGGACACGGCAGAGCAUACGCUUGUCGCCUGCCCCGCAUGGGAGUGGUGGCGGCGUGUCCUCGUCGCAAAAAUAGGAAACGACUUGUCGUUGCCGAGUGUUCUGGCAUCGAUGCUCGGUGACGACGAGUCGUGGAAGGCGAUGCUCGACUUCUGCGAGUGCACCAUCUCGCAAAAGGAGGUAGCGGGGCGGGUGAGAGAUGCACAGGCCCGCCCCCGUCGAGCGGGGUCCAGGGAGGCGGAUCUCGCCCAAGCCCUGGCCCUCUAAGUGUUUCGGGUCUCCCUCACAUGUCGGCCUGGGGACCGGCGAAGGGGGCCUAAGAAGACGACGUGCAAGCUGCUCUGCAUACGUUUUACGUAUGAGCAUCCGGGUGAUGGAAGGCCGGCUAUCCCCAACCCACCCUGGUUCUGACCCAGCGGGGUAUUCCGUAGGAUAGAUCAUUCUACCCGGCGCCAUCUAGGCGGGCUUCGGACAGCCUGCCAACCGAGAGGGCUGGUGGUCGUGGCGCCGACGACCGCCAGUCCGGCAUCCCGAGGGGGAGGGUGAUGGGAGAAAUGUGCUCCGCACUAAACACUUCACUUUCCCCCUUUGCCUUUUCAUGAGCUCUGUCUCAUGCGACGUUUGGAUGCUGGUUGUUGAGCGACAGGAGGUUUUAGUGGGUUCGAUUCCGACAUGCCCCGCCUUCCAUCCCCAGUGAAGGGCGGAAGUCCGGCGAUUUCCACCUGACAAAAAAAAAACGUGUGGCACUCGGGAACUGCGGCGGUAAAGCUAUUGCAUAGCAUUUUUUAUCAACUUAUGACAUUAUAAUUAGACAAUGAUAAUUUAAUAUUAAAACAAUAAUAAAACAAGACCACGCUAUAUUAAACCUUAAUAAAGGCAAAACCUUAACUGUCCCCUUCACACUCAUAAACUAAACCGCGCGAGAGAGAGAUGGGCAGACUUUUCAUGAUGCGCAUGCAGGGUGACGUCACGCCACUCGCUUAUUCACAAACACUACACAAGCGCAACGUGUGAAUGUGUUGAACGCGAGCUACAUGGUAGGCGGAGUGAGGUGUGUUAGGUUUUUUUCGUUACGGAAUUUCAUGAUUCGGUCGCCGCGCUCAAGGCCCGCGACAAAAGCUAUGCAAUAGCUUAAAAAUGUAUGAACUUGCAAUAAAAUCUCUUUGGCUAUACUAUUUGUAUCUGGCUGGUUUUGGUAUCAUUAAAAGUUUAAAUUCGAAAGAAGAUAAUUCCAAAUUAAAAUUAGGAAGAUGUGUGAUUUUUGUUUAUUUUAAGAAGAUAUUCGAUACAUUUUAAAAUUUUACUACAAAAAGGGUAAAAAAGCAACGCAAGCCGUGAAAAAAAAUUGCGUUUUGCAAAUUUGAUUUAAGCGUUUUCAAUCCGGAAAUUUUGAUGUCAAAAACGCACGUCGCUCUGGUCGCCUUAUUACGGAUAAAAUCGAUGCCAUUUUUGAAAAAGUGGGGCAAGAUCGGCAUAUCAAUAGUUACAACGUAACUGAAGAACUGGGAAUUGAUCACAAAAUAGUUAUGGCGCCUUUGAAAAAAACUGGGUACACAAAAAAGCUCACUGAAAGAAACCUAAUGAACCGUGUACUCAUUUGUGAUUCUUUAUUACGACGUAAUGAAACCGAACCAUUUUUGAAGAAGCUGAUAACUGGUGAUGAAAAGUGGAUCACGUACGACAAGAACGUACGAGAAAGGUUGUGGUCAAAGGCCGGUCAGGCUUCACAGACUCUGGCGAAACGAAACGAACUCUACUGCGAACAACUGAUGAGAUUAAAGCAAGAAGUUGAGAGAAAGCGGCCGGAAUUAAUCAACAGAAGGGGUGUGGUUUUUCAUCACGAUAACGCUAGACCUCACACAUCUUUAGCCACUCAGCAAAAAUUAAGAGAGCUUAGCUGGGAGGUGUUAAUGCAUCCGCCGUAUAGUUCUGACCUUGCACCUUCAGGUUUCUACCUGUUUCGGUCUCUUCAGAAUUCUUUAGGCAGUGUCAGGUUAACAUCACGAGAGGACUGCCAAAACCAAUUGUCGCGGUAUUUUGAUCAGAAGCCCCAAAAUUUUUAUAGCAAUGGGAUCAUGUCCCUACCUACAAGAUGGCAAAAAGUUAUCGAACAAAAUGGUACCGACAUACUUUAGUUAAAUGUGAAUAAACUAUAUUAAAAAAUGUUGUGAAUUUUCUUAAAAAAUGCGAUGAAACUUUUUCCCCAACCUAUUAUUAUAUAGAAAUAAAAUAGUAAACAAUGUUUACAAUAAGUGAGCUGUUUAGGCUUACUAUACUAUUAUACUAUUUGACAUUGGACGGUAAUGGAUAAAUUGUAAAAAAUUAUAAUCUAAGACAAGUUUUUGAACAAUAAUUAUAUACGCAUUUCCAUUUUAUAUAAAAAUUAUGAUUCUUACAUCAGUAAUUUCUUAUAAAAUGCUAGGAAAAUGCUUUAAAAUGCCCUUAUGUUAAAAACAAGAAAGAAAGUAAAGAAAACCUCAAUUUGUGUUAGUUUACGUAUGUGUAAUAUUUUAAAACUCUGCAUGGUAGUUUUUUUUCUAAUGUUUAAAAUAAUUUCUGGUGUAAUGUAAUGUAAUUAAGGUAAAAUUGCUCUAAUUUUUUAACUAUCAUCGAUCAUGUUCCGCAGAAACUUGUUACAACUUGAUUGCGUACGGUGUGUGGGCUAUCCUACGAAAUCUAUGUUAAUUAUUUUAAGUUUUUAUAAGAUCAUACAGGGUAGAAAUAUAAACUAAUUAUUCGUUAUAGUGUAGUAGGUGAGUUUUAAUUUUAGUAAAAUUUAAAAUACUAUAAAGUAAAUGAAAUUACAAAUUUUACAGCGCCCCCCUAACCCACAUCAACGCCCCCCAUUUUUUCCUGGGCCCCUUAACGCCCCCCUCUAGGUUUCAAACGCCCCCCAGGGGGCGCUAUCGCCCACUUUGAGAAAGACUGCUCUAGGCCACGACGACUUCAAAAUAAACGGUCCAUAUAUGUAUAUAAAGCAACUAUCCUUUGAUUUACAUAAGUAAACACGAUACGAAAGUUGACACAAGCAAAGGUUAGCUAUUAUCAGUUUAUAACACGAACGUACAUACAUAUCAAACGAAUCUCUCGUCAUAAAUAUGUAAAGAAUCAUUAACCCUCGCCUUGUUCUAGAAACAUCUUAAAACAACUUAGUGACUCAUUCUUCGUUUGUUAUUAGUACAAUAAAUUAUAUCUAUUAAGCCCACUGAGUUUCUUGCCGGUUCUUCUCAGUGGAUCGCGUUUCCGAUUCGGUGGUAGAUUCGGCGAAGCACUGCUCUUGCUAGGGCCAGUGUUAGCAGCACUCCGGUUUGAGCCCCGUGAGCUCACCGACACGUUAGGGUGAAGCUGAAAUAGCCCCUAAAGGCUAUCAGCAUAUGUGGGAAAAUAGAAAAGAAAAAGAAAAAGAAACAUGAAGCAUGAAACAAGAUCCGAAUAUAUUGUCGAUUCUUCUUAAAAUAGCAAUCUGCAAUGUAUCAUGUAAUAAAGAAUAUGAACUAAUUAAGAAACAAAUAUUAAAUAAAGGUGUGAAAUAAUAAUAUUUUAUCUAUAUUUCUAUACUAAUAUUAUAAAGAGGAAAAAUUUG